GGCUCGGAACCAGCACAGUCGGUAGAGCAUGAGACUCUUAAUCUCAAGGUUGUGAGUUCGAGCCCCAUAUUGGGCCA
Non-coding RNA from Podarcis lilfordi (Lilford's wall lizard), 77 nucleotides. Lineage: Eukaryota; Metazoa; Chordata; Lepidosauria; Squamata; Lacertidae. The record is from the annotation of a GenBank genome assembly.